UCAAGCAACAAAGAGUACAGGGUGGAUGCCUUGGCACUAAGAGCCGACGAAAGACGCGACAAGCUGCGAAAAGCCACGGUUAGGAGCAAAUAUCCAUUGAUCCGUGGAUGUCUGAAUGGGGAAACCCACUUGGAAAAACUCCAAGUAUCCAUGCGCCAAUCCAUAACGCAUGGAAGGGAACCCGGCGAACUGAAACAUCUAAGUAGCCGGAGGAAAAGAAAGAAACAUCGAUUCCCAAAGUAGCGGCGAGCGAAAUGGGAUGAGCCCAAACCAAGAUGCGUGCAUCUUGGGGUUCGGGCCGCCACAAUUGCAUCCGCAAAAGCUAGGCAAACGGCUUUGGGAAAGCCGGCCAAAGAGGGUGAAAGCCCCGUAGCCGAAAGCAAGAGUGGGCAAGGCGGUACCAGAGUAGCACGGGACACGAGAAACCCCGUGCGAAUAAGGGGGGACCACCCCCCAAGGCUAAAUACUACUUAGUGACCGAUAGCGCAUAGUACUGUGAAGGAAAGGUGAAAAGGACCCCGGGAGGGGAGUGAAAGAGAACCUGAAACCCUGUGCUUACAAACUGUGGAACGCCGACUUUGUUGGCGGACUGCGUACUUUUUGUAGAACGGUCCGGCGAGUUGUGUCGGCUGGCAAGGUUAAGCACUUAAAGUGCGGAGCCGAAGGGAAACCAAGUCUUAACAGGACGCCAGUCAGCCGAUGCAGACCCGAAACCAGGUGAUCUAUCCAUGCCCAGGUUGAAGCCGCCGUAAGAGGCGGUGGAGGACCGAACCCACGUCCGUUGAAAAGGGCGGGGAUGAGGUGUGGAUAGGGGAGAAAUUCCAAUCGAACCUGGAGAUAGCUGGUUCUCCUCGAAAUAGCUUUAGGGCUAGCCUCGUAACAAUCUGCCGGAGGUAGAGCACUGAAUUUCCUAGGGGGCGUCAAAGCCUGCCGAAGAAUAUCAAACUCCGAAUGCCGGACAGAUGAUUUACGGGAGUCAGACUGCACGAGAUAAGUCGGGUAGUCAAAAGGGAAAGAGCCCAGACCGCCGGCUAAGGCCCCAAAGUAUACGUUAAGUGGAAAAGGAUGUGGGAUCUCAAAGACAGCUAGGAUGUUGGCUCAGAAGCAGCCACCCAUUCAAAGAGUGCGUAACAGCUCACUAGCCGAGAGGUCCUGCGCCGAAAAUGUCCGGGGCUAAAACGUAUCGCCGAAGCUGCGGAAUGACGAAUGUCAUUGGUAGAGGAGCAUUGUUAAGUGGAUGAAGCAGUUUUGUAAAGAACUGUGGACGCUUAAGAAGAGAGAAUGCCGGAAUGAGUAGCGAGAGGAAGGUGAGAAUCCUUCCGGCCGAAUAUCCAAGGAUUCCAUGGUAAAGCUGAUCUGCCAUGGGGAAGUCGGGACCUAAGGCGAGGCCGAAAGGCGUAGCCGAUGGACAGCAGGUUUAUAUUCCUGCACUACAAUAAAACAGAACUGCGGGGACGCAUGGGGGAAGCACAAGCCGGGAAUGGAAAAUCCGGUGCAAGCGCAGAAGGUGUACGGAAGGAAAAACCACCGUACAAAACCAAGGACGUUAAGCGGAGCGAAAUGAUAGUAGCGAAGUGUGUAGAGCCUGUGCCCAGAAAAGCCGCUAUUGCUUUUAUUGUACCCGUACCGUAAACCGACACAGGUGGAUGGGGAGAGAAUCCCAAGGCCGACGGGAGAAGCGUUGUUAAGGAACUCGGCAAAAUGGCCCCGUAACUUCGGGAGAAGGGGCGCCUACGAGAGUAGGCCGCAGAGAAAAGGCCCAAGCAACUGUUUAGCAAAAACACAGGUCUAUGCAAAACCGCAAGGUGAAGUAUAUGGGCUGACGCCUGCCCGGUGCCGGAAGGUUAAGAGGAGGGGUUAGCGCAAGCGAAGCUCUGAAUUGAAGCCCCGGUAAACGGCGGCCGUAACUAUAACGGUCCUAAGGUAGCGAAAUUCCUUGUCGGGUAAGUUCCGACCCGCACGAAAGGCGUAAUGAUUUGGGCACUGUCUCGACAACGCACCCGGUGAAAUUGAAGUACCAGUGAAGAUGCUGGUUACCCGCGCCAGGACGGAAAGACCCCAUGGAGCUUUACUCCAGCUUGGCACUGGGGUCGGGCGUUGCAUGUACAGGAUAGGUGGGAGACUAGGAAGGAAGUGCGCCAGCAUUUCCGGAGUCAAUGUUGGGAUACCACCCUUGCAACGCCUGGCUUCUAACCCAUCGCCGUAAACCGGCGAGGGGACAAUACCAGGCGGGGAGUUUGACUGGGGCGGUCGCCUCCGAAAGGGUAUCGGAGGCGCUCAAAGGUUCCCUCAGGAUGGUCGGAAACCAUCUAAAGAGUGCAAAGGCAGAAGGGAGCCUGACUGCGAGGACGACGGUCCGAGCAGGUACGAAAGUAGGACUUAGUGAUCCGGUGGCAUUACGUGGGAAAGCCAUCGCUCAACGGAUAAAAGCUACCCUGGGGAUAACAGGCUUAUCACUCCCAAGAGUUCACAUCGACGGAGUGGUUUGGCACCUCGAUGUCGGCUCAUCGCAUCCUGGGGCUGAAGCAGGUCCCAAGGGUUGGGCUGUUCGCCCAUUAAAGCGGUACGCGAGCUGGGUUCAGAACGUCGUGAGACAGUUCGGUCCCUAUCCGGCGCGGGCGCAGGAGAAAUGAGAGGAGCUGUCCUUAGUACGAGAGGACCGGGACGGACGGGCCGCUGGUGUACCUGCUGCCAUGCCAAUGGCACAGCAGGGUAGCCAAGCCCGGCAGGGAGAAACGCUGAAGGCAUCUAAGCGUGAAGCCCCCCUCAAGAUGAUUUGUCCCAUUCAUAAAGAAGUAAGGCCCCUUAGAGACCAUGAGGUAGAUAGGGCGGGGGUAGAAGUACAGUAAUGUACGAAGCUGACCGCAACUAAUCGGCCGAGGGCUUGACC
Molecule: ribosomal RNA, 2890 nt
Filed under: Clostridia bacterium
Lineage: Bacteria; Bacillati; Bacillota; Clostridia
Description: 23S ribosomal RNA
Rfam family: Bacterial large subunit ribosomal RNA
Source: RNAcentral